UCGAUCAUACUAGCACUAAUGCUUCGGAUCCCAUCAGAACUCUGAAGUUAAGCGUGCUUGGGAGAGAGCGUUACUAGGAUGGGUGACCCCCUGGAAAGUCCUCGUGUUGCACCU
This 114-nucleotide ribosomal RNA is filed under the name Zingiber officinale. The record is from RNAcentral. Lineage: Eukaryota; Viridiplantae; Streptophyta; Magnoliopsida; Zingiberales; Zingiberaceae.